UACGGGGGGAGCAAGCGUUGUUCGGAAUCACUGGGCGUAAAGCGCACGUAGGCGGCUUGUUAAGUCAGGGGUGAAAUCCUGGAGCUCAACUCCAGAACUGCCUUUGAUACAGCACGUCUCGAGUCCGGAAGAGGUGGGUGGAAUUCCUAGUGUAGAGGUGAAAUUCGUAGAUAUUAGGAAGAACACCGGUGGCGAAGGCGGCUCACUGGUCCGGUACUGACGCUGAGGUGCGAAAGCGUGGGGAGCAAACAGG
This 253-nucleotide ribosomal RNA is filed under the name uncultured bacterium. RNAcentral describes it as "partial 16S ribosomal RNA". It matches the Rfam family "Bacterial small subunit ribosomal RNA", at positions 524 to 776 of the family's 1533-position model. The record is from RNAcentral.